RNAcentral lists this unclassified non-coding RNA (469 nucleotides) under Hevea brasiliensis (rubber tree). Lineage: Eukaryota; Viridiplantae; Streptophyta; Magnoliopsida; Malpighiales; Euphorbiaceae. The record is from RNAcentral.
GGAUCUUAUGACAGGUUCUGCCGCUUGUUUAGCAAUCUGGUCUAAAGAUACCAGGGAAGCGAUGGCAGAGGCAGAAGCUUUGAAGCUGUCUCAGGAUAUAGGGGAAAUGUGGCUGAGGCUUGUACAGGGUCUGAGGAAAGUUUGUCUGGAUCAGAGAGAAGUUAGGAAUCAUGCUCUUUCAUCCCUACAGACGUGCUUGACAGGAGUAGAUGAAAUGUACCUUUCACAUGGUCUCUGGUUGCAGUGCUUUGAUAUUGUCAUUUUCACAAUGCUGGACGACUUGAUUGAGCUCACAUCACAGAAAGAUUAUAGAAACAUGGAAGAGACACUUAUUCUUGCCUUGAAGCUGUUAACCAAGGUGUUUUUACAAUUGCUUCAUGAGCUAUCUCAAUUGACCACCUUCUGUAAACUCUGGCUUGGAGUCCUCAACCGGAUGGAGAAAUACAUGAAGGUGAAGGUCAGAGGUAAG